CAAGUUAUACAUUUCUAAUAUUGUGAGACUUCAUGGGGUUUCGGUUUUCAUGAUUUCAAAUAGAAAUCCUCAUUUCACUUCUCGAUUUUGAAAGAAGCUUCAUAAGGCUUAGGGUUCGAGGUUGGAUUUCAGUACUGUGUUCCAUCCUUAGAUAAAUGGUCAAUCUGAUAGGGUGAUUCAGAUACUGGAGGAUAUGCUUUGG
RNAcentral lists this long non-coding RNA (202 nucleotides) under Gossypium barbadense (sea-island cotton). Its description in RNAcentral is "long non-coding RNA (GBAR_LNC015454)". Lineage: Eukaryota; Viridiplantae; Streptophyta; Magnoliopsida; Malvales; Malvaceae. The record is from RNAcentral.